This is a non-coding RNA of Agelaius phoeniceus (red-winged blackbird), 211 nucleotides long. Lineage: Eukaryota; Metazoa; Chordata; Aves; Passeriformes; Icteridae. The record is from RefSeq and is a predicted model, not a curated record.
GGAGGUGCUGGGUGUUUGCUGCAGUCCUGUGCUCAGGUACAGGCUGCUGGGUGUUUGCUGCAGCCCUGUGCUCAGGUACAGGGAGGUGCUGGGUGUUUGCUGCAGCCCUGUGCUCAGGUACAGGGAGGUGCUGGGUGUUUGCUGCAGUCCUGUGCUCAGGUACAGGGGUGUUUGCUGCAGCCCUGUGCUCAGGUACAGGGAGGUGCUGGGU